RNAcentral lists this non-coding RNA (28 nucleotides) under Bombyx mori (domestic silkworm). Lineage: Eukaryota; Metazoa; Arthropoda; Insecta; Lepidoptera; Bombycidae. The record is from RNAcentral.
UUUGAGUAUUUGCAAGAAAGUGGCGUGA